RNAcentral lists this transfer RNA (88 nucleotides) under Candidatus Cloacimonadota bacterium. RNAcentral describes it as "tRNA-Trp". It matches the Rfam family "tRNA". From Rfam's summary of the family: Transfer RNA (tRNA) molecules are approximately 80 nucleotides in length. Their secondary structure includes four short double-helical elements and three loops (D, anti-codon, and T loops). The record is from RNAcentral. Lineage: Bacteria; Pseudomonadati; Candidatus Cloacimonadota.
ACGGACGAGGCCGACCGGCAAGGCACUGGUCUCCAAAACCAGCAGGUUGCAAAACCGUUUUAGGGUUCAAUUCCCUACGUCCGUGCCA